RNAcentral lists this ribosomal RNA (252 nucleotides) under uncultured bacterium. RNAcentral's name for it is "partial 16S ribosomal RNA". It matches the Rfam family "Bacterial small subunit ribosomal RNA", at positions 524 to 776 of the family's 1533-position model. The record is from RNAcentral.
UACGUAGGGGGCUAGCGUUAUCCGGAAUUACUGGGCGUAAAGGGUGCGUAGGUGGUUUCUUAAGUCAGAGGUGAAAGGCUACGGCUCAACCGUAGUAAGCCUUUGAAACUGGGAAACUUGAGUGCAGGAGAGGAGAGUGGAAUUCCUAGUGUAGCGGUGAAAUGCGUAGAUAUUAGGAGGAACACCAGUUGCGAAGGCGGCUCUCUGGACAGUAACUGACACUGAGGCACGAAAGCGUGGGGAGCAAACAGG